UUAUAUAUAUUUUAUUUUCAAACUCAAUUCCUUUCUCAUCCAGAACAACCCCAGGCUUCUCCCGUUUGCGCCGUUUUCCCACACAACAUCCGAAUCAUCUCCAUCCCCCGCUUCGCGCCUUUUUCAUUCUCGUUUGUUUUUUCUCUUCAUGCUCGCCGCCGCCAAUCUUCACACUCGGCAUAUCGUCUCGGAUGAUGAUGACAGACUCAGAUUGGCCUCCGCUGCCGCGGUUGACAAAGCGACGCCGGACCAGCGGGAGUGCCGAGAGCGGAACCGAAGAAUCUCAUCCUUCGAAUCGGCGGAUCCUGUCCAGAUGAUGAUGAUGAUGAUCCAUCCAAUCUUAGCCUUGGCAAUCGGAUAAAGCUCUUGUAAACAGUUACACCACCGGGCAUCCCCAUUUGCGCGCGGCGUGGAUGGGCGAAAUAAUGGAAUCCGAAAGACGACGGUGAGGUGGGAGCGAACGGAACGAAGCAAAAAUCGACAGCACAUAUCCUGGAAUGAAUCGAAAUUUGUCUUGGAAAUGAAACGGGCCUGACGAUGGUUCAGCAACGAUGGCGGCAUGGGCCCGAGAUGGCCCGGCCACAGAUAAAUCUGAUCCAGACAUGGAUAAGGACAGGAAAGCGAUGACUUGAAUCAGAGUGGCUGUGACUCGAGUGUGGAAUCUGGUGGUGCUGUUCACUGUGGGGAUGAUCUGAAUUGCUGGAGAUGAAUCAGGGGAAUCCAGAGCCACAGGAAGAGAGAGAUGUGAAAAAAAUCUGGUCGGAGAAAAAUUUGUCUAGUUUGCAAGGAAGGUGUUUGAUGGAAUGACGAAGCUGGACUCUGUUUCCAAGUAUACCCAUUCGAGAGAGAGAGAGAGAGAGAGAGAGAGAGAAUUAGCGAGCUUUAUCUGGCGGUGAGAGCAAGUUCGAGUUUGGGAGCGCAUGAUGUUGUUGAUUCUAAUAGGAAAAGCCACUGCCAGAGGCUUGGAUGCUGUGAUGUUGAGAGAAAGGCUGCGGAAAAGUUGUGAUGCAGAAACGCCAUUACAUAGUUAUGCCACCACGGCGAAAGAGAUGACUGUGAGAGAGGCUUUGAAUACUGCAUUUGACGACGAAAUAUCUGCAGAUCCUAGAGUCUUUCUAAUGGGUGAGGUGGUCGGAGAAUAACGAGGUUUUUUUUUUUUUUUUUUUUUGGGCAGAAGCAUGGACCUGAGAGGGUUGUUGAUACUGCAAUCACAGAGGCUGGUUUCGCUGGAGUUGAAGUCGGUGCUGCUUUCUAGGGUCUCGGGCCUGUUGUGGAGUUUAUGAAAUUCAAUUUCACUAUGCAGGCGAUUGACUUACGUUCUAAAUUCUGCUGAAUGAACUUCAUGUCGGCUGGCAAUACAUCAGUCCCUAUAGUUUCAAGAGGAGCUGCAGCAGGAGUCAGUGCCCAUCACUCCCAAGCCUCGUGAAGGCGUCGCCAUCCCACCUGGAGGAAGCUUUGCUGGAUCCGGCCUCAUUAGAUCACUUGUCACCCUCAGGAUCUAUCAAACCCGAGAAUGGCUCAUGGUGUGCGAAAUGAGAGUUGCUCAUAAAUGGUGUAGCAUCUCCGGGUAUGAAAUUGGUGAGCCCCGAAAGCUCACUCCUAGGCAACUUCUGCAUUGAUGAUAGGCCAUUUGCUGCAUUUGUUUUUGUAUACAUGUAUCUUAUGACGGCAGAUUAGCAUAAAGACUCGGAAAUACAAAUCAUGGAGAUCUGAGGUAGUGUCUUCGUGGAUUUUCGAUACAAAAUGUGGGGAAGAAAAAACACAUAGUUAUGUGGAGGUACCGAGUCACAGGUAGUGAUAAGCACAUAGUAUCGAGAAGCUAUUGCUGCAAAGAAUGCACGCCUUCGGGUGAUUAUCUUUGUUCAUCCAUUCAUGCAAACAUUUACUACACGCAAAUGAGUUUCUCUUUGAAAUGCACAUCAACCAGAAGAAAAGGACACAGACAGAGCCCCUCUUACGAGUCUAUGGCUCCCAAUGAACUUCAUUGUUGGAAUACCUAAGAGUUGCUCUUUGCUUCUCUUGAA
Molecule: long non-coding RNA, 2024 nt
Organism: Eucalyptus grandis
Lineage: Eukaryota; Viridiplantae; Streptophyta; Magnoliopsida; Myrtales; Myrtaceae
Exons: 2
Source: RefSeq, a predicted model, not a curated record